RNA transcript from Manis pentadactyla (Chinese pangolin), 5115 nucleotides. It is a transcript of the gene named unc-51 like autophagy activating kinase 1, with no coding region annotated. The transcript is spliced from 28 exons. Lineage: Eukaryota; Metazoa; Chordata; Mammalia; Pholidota; Manidae. The record is from RefSeq and is a predicted model, not a curated record.
CUGCGCUGGCGUCUCAGGCUCCGGGCCCUGUGGCCCCGGCUCUUUUGUUUCCCGGCUGGAGUCGGAGCUGGACACGGUGCCGUAGACCCAGCCGGAGCCGGGGUUGUCUCGAAUUAGCAGCCCGGGCCAGGAGCGCCCUGAGUGGCCCGUGGGGCAGGCAGCGGGUCGGCCUGCCCAAUGGGGCGCGGCCCCCGCCCGCCGCCCCCGGCCGGUGCCGCCGCCUGAGCGCGCCCGCCGCCCGCCAUGGAGCCCGGCCGCGGCGGCCUGGAGGCCGUGGGCAAAUUCGAAUUCUCGCGCAAGGACCUGAUCGGACACGGGGCCUUCGCGGUUGUCUUCAAGGGGCGCCACCGCGAGAAGCACGACCUGGAGGUCGCGGUAAAGUGUAUUAACAAAAAGAACCUGGCCAAGUCCCAGACUCUGCUGGGGAAGGAGAUCAAGAUCCUCAAGGAAUUGAAACAUGAAAAUAUCGUGGCUUUGUAUGACUUCCAGGAAAUGGCCAAUUCCGUCUACCUGGUCAUGGAGUACUGUAACGGCGGGGACCUGGCUGACUAUCUGCACAACAUGCGGACGCUGAGCGAGGACACCAUCCGGCUCUUCCUGCAGCAGAUUGCAGGUGCCAUGCGGCUGCUGCACAGCAAGGGCAUCAUCCACCGUGACCUGAAGCCUCAGAACAUUCUGCUGUCCAACCCUGGUGGGCGCCGCGCCAACCCCAACAACAUCCGUGUCAAGAUCGCUGACUUCGGCUUCGCUCGGUACCUCCAGAGCAACAUGAUGGCAGCCACACUCUGCGGAUCCCCCAUGUACAUGGCCCCCGAAGUCAUCAUGUCCCAGCACUACGAUGGGAAGGCGGACCUGUGGAGCAUUGGCACCAUCGUAUACCAGUGCCUGACUGGGAGGGCACCCUUCCAGGCCAGCAGCCCCCAGGACCUCCGCCUCUUCUAUGAGAGGAACAAGACACUGGUGCCCACCAUCCCCCGGGAGACCUCAGCCCCACUGAGACAGCUCCUCCUGGCUCUGCUGCAGCGCAACCACAAAGACCGCAUGGACUUUGAUGAGUUUUUCCAUCACCCUUUCCUUGAUGCCAGCGCCACGGUGAAGAAGUCCCCACCGGUGCCUGUGCCCUCCUAUCCGAGCUCGGGCUCUGGCAGCAGUUCCAGCAGCAGCUCCACCUCGCAUCUGGCCUCCCCACCGUCGCUGGGGGACAUGCAGCGGCAGCUCCAGAAGACGCUGACCUCCCCGGCCGAUGCUGCCGGCUUCCUGCAGGGCUCCCGGGAGUCCGGUGGCAGCAGCAAGGACUCGUCCUGCGACACGGAUGACUUCGUCAUGGUCCCAGCCCAGUUUCCAGGUGACUUGGUGGCUGAGGUAGCUGGUGCCAAGCCCCCAGUUGACAGCCUGAUGUGCAGCGGGAGCUCACUGGUGGCCUCAGCUGGCCUGGAGAGCCAUGGCCGGACACCAUCGCCUUCCCCGCCCUGCAGCAGCUCCCCCAGCCCCUCAGGGUGUUCUGAGCAUGGUGCUCAUCCCAGUGCCCCAGCUCCAAUGACCCCCAGCUUCUCUGCCCACCACAGCCGGGCUGGCCCAUUCUCCAGCAGCAGGUGUGGCGUAUCCGUUCCCAUCCCAGUCCCCACUCAGGUGCAGAACUACCAGCGCAUUGAGCAGAACCUACAGUCACCCACCCAGUUCCAGACCCCACGGUCUUCUGCCAUCCGCAGGUCAGGCAGCACCAGCCCCCUGAGCUUUGCACGGGCUAGUCCUUCGCCCCCAUCCCACACUGAGCACGGAGCUGCUCUGGCCAGGAAGCUCUCCCUUGGUGGGGGCCGGCCCCACACACCGUCUCCACAAGUUGGAACCAUCCCUGAGCGGCCAGGCUGGAGUGCAGUGCCCUCCCUGCAGGGAGCUGAGAUGCGGGGUGGCCGGUCCCCUCGCCCAGGCUCCUCUGUGCCUGAGCACUCUGCUCACACCACUGGCCUUGGCUGCCGCCUGCACAGCGCUCCCAACCUGUCUGACCUGCAUGUCGUCCACCCCAAGCUGCCCAAGCCUCCCACUGACCCACUGGGGACAGCAUUUGGCCUCCCACAGGCCAGCCCCCCACAGCCAUCCCGUGGGCUGCAGUCCUUCCGGCCGCUGCGUGGCUCGCCCAAGUUGCCUGACUUCCUGCAGCGGACCCCCCUACCCCCAAUCCUGGGGUCCCCCACCAAGGCUAUGCCUGCCUUCGACUUCCCCAAGACCCCCAGCUCCCAGAACUUGCUGACCCUACUGGCCCGGCAGGGUGUGGUCAUGACGCCACCUCGGAACCGGACACUGCCUGACCUCUCAGAGGCAGGGCCUUUCCAGGGGCAGCAACUGGGCCCUGGUCUGCAGCCCACUGAGGAUACCAAGGGCCCCUUUGGCAGGUCCCUCAGUACCGGCCGUCUCACUGAUCUACUCCUUAAGGCUGCAUUUGGGACACAGGCCCCAGACUCAGGCAGCACAGACAGCCUGCAGGAGAAGCCCAUGGAGAUCACGCCCUCUGCGGGCCUUGGAGGGAACCUGCACCCAGGAGCCUGUGCAGGGAGGGCCAGCAGCCCGUCACCUGUGGUGUUCACCGUGGGAUCACCCCCGAGUGGGACCACACCACCCCAGGGCCUGAGAACCAGGAUGUUCUCAGUGGGCUCCUCAAGCUCUCUCAGCUCGGCUGGCUCCUCCUCUGCCCGCCACCUGGUACCUGGGGCUUGCAGUGAGGCCACCCCAGAGGUCCCAGCCCCGAGCCAUUGCUGCAGCUUGGCCGACCCCGUUGCCGCCAACCUGCAGGGAGCCGUGACCUUCGAGGCCCCUGACCUUCCCGAGGAGACCCUCAUGGAGCAAGAGCACACAGAGAUCCUGCAUAGCCUGCGCUUCACCCUCAUCUUCGUCCAGCACAUCCUGGAGAUUGUGGCCCUGAAGGGCAGUGCCAGUGAGACAGCUGGGGGGUCCGAGUACCUGCUGCAGGAGAGCGUGGUGGCCGACCAGAUCAGCCUGCUGAGCCGCGAGUGGGGCUUCGCGGAGCAGCUGGUGCUCUACCUGAAGGUGGCUGAGCUGCUCUCCUCAGGCUUGCAGACUGCCAUCAACCAGAUCCGGGCUGGCAAGCUCUGCCUGUCGUCCACAGUGAAGCAGGUGGUGCGGCGGUUAAAUGAGCUGUACAAGGCCAGUGUGGUGUCCUGCCAGGGCCUGAGCCUGCGGCUGCAGCGCUUCCUCUUAGACAAGCAGCGGCUGCUGGGCCGCAUCCAGAAUGCCACUGCAGAGCAGCUCAUCUUCAGCCACGCAGUGCAGACGUGUGAGGGCCACAUGCAGAUGUGCGGGUGGUCGACCCAGGGCUCCCUGUCCGUGGUGGCGGGGGCAGCCGGGCCCAGCCUCUGCCUCACUGGAGCAGGUACAGUCGGCUGCUCUAGAUGAGAUGUUCCACCGUCGUGAGGACUGUGUUCAGCGCUACCACAAAGCCCUGCUGCUCAUGGAGGGGCUGCAGCAGAUCCUUACGGACCAGGCAGAUGUGGAGAACAUUGCCAAAUGCAAGCUGUGCAUCGAGCGGAGACUCUCAGCCCUGUUGAGCGGCAUUGGUGCCUAACCUCUCAGAGCCCUGGCCCUUGAGCCCUUCCCUGCCAAUCCAAAAGGGCGGUGUGGUGUGCUGGCCGGGCCCCCAGGGGCAAGCCCACAGCCUUGGCACUGCUUCUGGUGCCAGGAAAGGACUGAGCUUCCCACCCAGCAUCCAGAGCCAGGCCUCCAGCUGCUUCUCCUCCUGGGCUCCUGCAGUAGACUUCGGGGCACCGGAGGGUCCCCCAACAGAACCCCAACCUGGGCUCGUUCCCCAGGUUGCUGGGGUCAGAGAUUCCAGCCGACAUGCAGAACUCACCCAGCUGAGUGGAUGGCAGGUGGGGACGCAUGGGCAUCCCCCACCCCAGCCAGAACCGAGGUCAGCCUUGCUGCCUGCUGUUGAGCUGAGGACAAGCAGAGGCCCCGAGAUGGGUGCCCACACAAGCCAAAGCUGCCAGCCCUGCCCAGGGGCUCCACCAGGAAAAAGUGUGGCCUUUUGGCUCCCCUUCCCCAAAACCACCCAUCCAGCUUUGUGAAUCACCAAGCACUUUAUGCAGGCAGACGUGGACUGGGCCGCAGCUCAGUCCCGGCUGUUGCACUACAAGGCGUGUACAUAUCAUAUACAUGUAUACAUAUAUAAAUAGUCCUAGCGUGUGUGAGCGUGUGUGCUGUGCGUGCCACCCCAGACCUUGGGGAGACACAGCCAUCUUAUUUAAGUCUUCUAGGGAUGGACAGUAGGAAGCAGCUUUGUAAACCAAGCACACGUUGCAGCCUGUCACACUUAUGAAUCUGUAGCUUUCUUCUUUUUUUUUUAAGAAGAAAACUUGCAGAGUUCAGGGCCUUUUGAUUUGGGUCAGGUCAGGACAGGGUGGGGCCUCAGCACCUCGGAGGCUGUCAUGGGAGACGGGUGGUGCUGUUAGGGCAGUCCUGCCCUGCUGCCCCCCACCUCCGGUGAUGGCGGGCAGAUGAGGGGGCAUUUGUGGAAAAGCCUCCCCCACAGCAUUCACAGUAGGUUUGGAUGUCAGUGGGUGUCCCAGGCAGGUCCUAGCUAACAUCAAGGGGGUCUGUGGGGAGCCAAGCCUUCCAGGUGCAAGGGGCCUUCCCUGUCCACCCAGCGCUGACUUGGCCCCUUGAACGUGUCCCCAAGGUGCAGGAGAAGCCCCUGGCCAGUCCAGGCAUCCCUGGUAAGGGGUUCAGGGUCUUAGACCACAGGCAUGAAGAUCUGUACAUGUCUGUCACAUUUGGAGUAUUAUCACUGUGCUUGGACUUAGAAGUUGCCCAGGACCUGUUUCUUUCCUCAUCACCUAGUGACUAUUUUUUCCUUGCUACACGGAAUGUGUUCCUGUUUAUUGCAUAUGGUUGGCUGGAAUCCAGGGCUGCCGGGAGGCUGGCGCCAUGGGCAGCUUCCCAUGCCCGUUCUGUGGUGCCAUGUGCCCAAGCCACCAGCUGACCCCAUUCUUCACAACACUGCACUUGACCCUUGUUAUACCUGAAAAGGAAUUUUGUGUGAUUUUCUCUCCAUUUGCAUUAUUGUGUAAUCCUGAUUUAAGGAAAUAAACCUUUGGAAUUGUU